This is a long non-coding RNA of Anarrhichthys ocellatus (wolf-eel), 746 nucleotides long. RefSeq lists it as uncharacterized. The record is from RefSeq and is a predicted model, not a curated record. The transcript is spliced from 2 exons. NCBI's taxonomy places the organism in Eukaryota, Metazoa, Chordata, Actinopteri, Perciformes, Anarhichadidae.
CACGAGGCGCGGCUGUCACAGCGGCACGCAGACAGAGGGGAAGGUAAACUCCCGACUCGAACAAAGGUUGACUGCGUGUCCUUUAGAAAACAAAACGAUUGGAUCCCAUUAAAGGAGUUUUUCACCACAAGCAUGUAGCUGCUCAUCAAACAGGUGAGCAUCAUUUUAGUUAACAUUCAGCUCUAAGAAUUGUACACAUUAAUGGAAUCUACUGUAAGUGUAUAGCAUCUCUUAUGCGGCCUAUCUAUUCACCUGCAAAGGAGGAGCCUCUGUCUUAACCUCCAUCAUCCCAGUGCAAGCCAUACAGGCUUUGAAUUAAUGAGCUGUAACAUCUGUGGUAGCACCAUCUCGGUAAUGGAGCGUGAACUGAGCAAGUUCACAUCAUCUCGGUGUGAGCAAAAGAGCCCAGAGAAACCGGGUAUGUUUGGAAAUAAAGACGGAUGGGGAUUGGAGUUUUUGAUGGGCAAAUGUAUUGGUACACCAGGCUAUAUAAAGAUCCUUAAUUACAAUUAGAGAGUUUUAAGUAAGGGGUGAACACAUUUCUUUCAGGGUGAUUACACUAUAAUUAUAGUACUUGCAUGUUUUUCUUGAUAUAGGUACAAAUUAAGUAUUCUAUUGAUUCCUUUUAUAUACUAAAUAAUGAUUGUAAUUCUGAUGCAGGACUGACUUCACUGCUCUCAAACAGACUUCUAAAAGGCAAUUAAAAAACAAAAAAACAAACAUGAAAUGCAAAAUCCGUAACAAUU